Molecule: long non-coding RNA, 378 nt
Filed under: Elaeis guineensis (African oil palm)
Lineage: Eukaryota; Viridiplantae; Streptophyta; Magnoliopsida; Arecales; Arecaceae
Description: long non-coding RNA (EGUI_LNC073462)
Source: RNAcentral
AGCAGGAGAUUGCAUCUCAGUUGGUUCCACUGCUAGGACGUGUAGAUGACCGCUCCACUGGCACCACCAUCUCUUCCACUUCUGGCGAUGGUUGCUUCAUCGAUUCUGAACCCCUGAAGUGGGCUGACCGCAUGAUCUCAACACCACCAUCUUCUCAAGCAUCAGUUCCUUCAAGCAACCAACCUAUCGACGUGCUUAUGUCAGCAGAAAGUGGAAACCUUAGUGAGGCCGAGAUCUUGGAGUGGACUGAUAGCUUGUUAGCGGCUGAUGAUGGCAUGGUGGCCCAGCCAACUCCUUUUGCAACCGGAUCUUCUUUUGCAACCGAAGAUGGUAGCAGUGAUGAAGAUGUUGCGACGGUGACCGCUACCUGCACCGGGC